This 293-nucleotide ribosomal RNA is filed under the name uncultured bacterium. RNAcentral describes it as "partial 16S ribosomal RNA". It matches the Rfam family "Archaeal small subunit ribosomal RNA", at positions 455 to 747 of the family's 1478-position model. The record is from RNAcentral.
GUGCCAGCAGCCGCGGUAAUACCGGCAGCACGAGUGAUGGCCGAUAUUAUUGGGCCUAAAGCGUCCGUAGCUGGCCGGACAAGUCCGUUGGGAAAUCCACGUGCCUAACACGCGGGCGUCCAGCGGAAACUGUCCGGCUUGGGGCCGGAAGACCCGAGGGGUACGUCCGGGGUAGGAGUGAAAUCCUGUAAUCCUGGACGGACCGCCGGUGGCGAAAGCGCCUCGGGAGGACGGACCCGACAGUGAGGGACGAAAGCCAGGGUCUCGAACCGGAUUAGAAACCCGAGUAGUCC